RNAcentral lists this ribosomal RNA (957 nucleotides) under Oerskovia sp. RNAcentral's name for it is "bacterial SSU rRNA". It matches the Rfam family "Bacterial small subunit ribosomal RNA", at positions 70 to 1040 of the family's 1533-position model. The record is from RNAcentral. Lineage: Bacteria; Bacillati; Actinomycetota; Actinomycetes; Micrococcales; Cellulomonadaceae.
UGAUGACCAGCUUGCUGGUCGGAUCAGUGGCGAACGGGUGAGUAACACGUGAGUAACCUGCCCCAGACUCUGGGAUAAGCCUUGGAAACGAGGUCUAAUACUGGAUAUGAGAUGCCCCUGCAUGGGGAGUGUCUGGAAAGAUUUAUCGGUCUGGGAUGGACUCGCGGCCUAUCAGCUUGUUGGUGGGGUAAUGGCCUACCAAGGCGACGACGGGUAGCCGGCCUGAGAGGGCGACCGGCCACACUGGGACUGAGACACGGCCCAGACUCCUACGGGAGGCAGCAGUGGGGAAUAUUGCACAAUGGGCGCAAGCCUGAUGCAGCGACGCCGCGUGAGGGAUGAAGGCCUUCGGGUUGUAAACCUCUUUCAGCAGGGAAGAAGCGCAAGUGACGGUACCUGCAGAAGAAGCGCCGGCUAACUACGUGCCAGCAGCCGCGGUAAUACGUAGGGCGCAAGCGUUGUCCGGAAUUAUUGGGCGUAAAGAGCUCGUAGGCGGUUUGUCGCGUCUGGUGUGAAAACUCAAGGCUCAACCUUGAGCUUGCAUCGGGUACGGGCAGACUAGAGUGCGGUAGGGGUGACUGGAAUUCCUGGUGUAGCGGUGGAAUGCGCAGAUAUCAGGAGGAACACCGAUGGCGAAGGCAGGUCACUGGGCCGCAACUGACGCUGAGGAGCGAAAGCAUGGGGAGCGAACAGGAUUAGAUACCCUGGUAGUCCAUGCCGUAAACGUUGGGCACUAGGUGUGGGGCUCAUUCCACGAGUUCCGUGCCGCAGCAAACGCAUUAAGUGCCCCGCCUGGGGAGUACGGCCGCAAGGCUAAAACUCAAAGGAAUUGACGGGGGCCCGCACAAGCGGCGGAGCAUGCGGAUUAAUUCGAUGCAACGCGAAGAACCUUACCAAGGCUUGACAUACACCGGAAACUUCCAGAGAUGGUUGCCCCGCAAGGUCGGUGUACAGGUG